UGAGGAAUAUUGGUCAAUGGACGCAAGUCUGAACCAGCCAAGUAGCGUGCAGGAUGACGGCCCUAUGGGUUGUAAACUGCUUUUAUAUGGGGAUAAAGUGGGGAACGUGUUCCCUUUUGCAGGUACCAUAUGAAUAAGGACCGGCUAAUUCCGUGCCAGCAGCCGCGGUAAUACGGAAGGUUCGGGCGUUAUCCGGAUUUAUUGGGUUUAAAGGGAGCGUAGGCCGUUUGGUAAGCGUGUUGUGAAAUGUAGGAGCUCAACUUCUAGAUUGCAGCGCGAACUGUCAGACUUGAAUGCGCACAACGUAGGCGGAAUUCAUGGUGUAGCGGUGAAAUGCUUAGAUAUCAUGAAGAACUCCGAUUGCGAAGGCAGCUUACGGGAGCGCAACUGACGCUGAAGAUCGAAGGUGCGGGUAUCGAACAGG
This 424-nucleotide ribosomal RNA is filed under the name Verrucomicrobiota bacterium. RNAcentral's name for it is "Verrucomicrobia bacterium partial 16S ribosomal RNA". It matches the Rfam family "Bacterial small subunit ribosomal RNA", at positions 355 to 776 of the family's 1533-position model. Lineage: Bacteria; Pseudomonadati; Verrucomicrobiota. The record is from RNAcentral.